RNAcentral lists this ribosomal RNA (692 nucleotides) under Anisogammarus pugettensis. Its description in RNAcentral is "partial 28S rRNA". It matches the Rfam family "Eukaryotic large subunit ribosomal RNA", at positions 315 to 664 of the family's 3401-position model. The record is from RNAcentral. Lineage: Eukaryota; Metazoa; Arthropoda; Malacostraca; Amphipoda; Anisogammaridae.
GCUAAAUAUUUCCACAGGACCGAUAGCAAACAAGUACCGUGAGGGAAAGUUGAAAAGCACUCUGAAGAGAGAGUCAAAAGACCGUGAAACCGCUUAGAGUAUAAGCCCAUGGUGAUUUGGAAGGCGUAACAUAUGUUUGGGAGCACUGCUUUGUAGUGGCUACCGUCUCCGUACCCAGUCUUGGGAGGUUAAGAGCAGGCUUUCAUUACUCCUCUCUGCCGAUCGGGAGUUGAGUUGGGAGUUGUUGGUCGUGCGUGUCAAAGCGUGCGGGUCUCGGCUCUCGCUCUUCUCUUGCGAUCGACCAUCCAGGGGGUUGAACUUGCGGAGAUUUUGUUACCUGCCCACCACAACACGUUGUGAGGUCACCCACAGGCUCGACUGUCGAUUGCUACUCAUUCACGGGCGAGAUGCGCUAGAGUCGUUACCCGGCAAGGUUCGACAAUGCAGCUCUGUCUGGGAUGGGUCGGGCGGCGACUGAGUUCUGGUAUGAUCCUCUUGCGACGAGUUGUUUUCUGACCAGACCGGCGCGCCACGGCUGCACCCUUUCGUGUAUCCGUGUGUACAGGUGUCGACCAAACAUCUUAAAGGCGGUUUGACAGCCCCCUGAUGAGCAAUAUCAUCAAGGCCUCCGUCGCGUUGCUGGUCUGUGUGGUGUAAAGUCCAAAGCCAUCGGUCACGUCUCGAAACACGGG